AACGAACGCUGGCGGCGUGGAUAAGACAUGCAAGUCGAGCGAUUAUCACAGGGUAGCAAUAUUCUGUGGUGAGAGCGGCGCAAGGGUGCGUAACACGUGGGUAAUCUGCCAUGAAGUUUGGGAUAACUUGCUGAAAGGCGAGCUAAUACCGGAUGUGACCGUUGGGAGGCCUCUCUCGAUGGUCAAAGCUGGGGACCGAAAGGCCUGGCGCUUCAUGAUGAGCCCGCGGCCUAUCAGCUAGUUGGUGAGGUAACGGCCCACCAAGGCUAAGACGGGUAGCUGGUCUGAGAGGACGACCAGCCACACUGGAACUGAGACACGGUCCAGACACCUACGGGAGGCAG
RNAcentral lists this ribosomal RNA (344 nucleotides) under uncultured Verrucomicrobiota bacterium. RNAcentral describes it as "bacterial SSU rRNA". It matches the Rfam family "Bacterial small subunit ribosomal RNA", at positions 29 to 351 of the family's 1533-position model. The record is from RNAcentral. Lineage: Bacteria; Pseudomonadati; Verrucomicrobiota.